GGGCCUGUAGUCUAGCGGAUAGGACGUUGGGCUUCGGACCCAAAAACCCCGGUUCGAAUCCGGGCUGGCCCG
Molecule: transfer RNA, 72 nt
Filed under: Candidatus Woesearchaeota archaeon
Lineage: Archaea; Nanobdellati; Candidatus Woesearchaeota
Description: tRNA-Arg
Rfam family: tRNA
About the family: Transfer RNA (tRNA) molecules are approximately 80 nucleotides in length. Their secondary structure includes four short double-helical elements and three loops (D, anti-codon, and T loops).
Source: RNAcentral